Molecule: non-coding RNA, 104 nt
Organism: Pelobates cultripes (western spadefoot toad)
Lineage: Eukaryota; Metazoa; Chordata; Amphibia; Anura; Pelobatidae
Source: the annotation of a GenBank genome assembly
AUAAUGCUUUGCAUGUCUUUAACAUGCAUUUUUAAUAACAAAGCAUCAAGUUUGUUAUUGCUUUGUUAUUAAAAAUGCAUGUUAAAGACAUGCAAAGCAUUAUG